GCGCGCGCGCGCGCAAGCGAGUGGCCGGCCGAGCGAGAACGCACAUAGUACGCCGCGUACGGAUUGGAAUGGAACGCGUCGCGGACCUCGACGAAGGAAGUGUUGGGGAAAUAGAGAAAGAGAGAUAUAGCUGAGUGACAGAAAAAUAAGUGAAAGGGAAGAUUCGUGUUAUGGAAGAGAAACGAGAAACAGGAUCACCCGAGUGGAUAACGGACGAAUGGGUGUCCUCCUGCUUAAAAAGGAAGGAUCGUGUCGGGGACACCUGUGAAUUUAGUGUAUUAUCAUAGUACGAAGGACUUUCAUUUGUCCUUCUUCUCCAAAACUCGCCUCUGGAGCUUGCGAUAUUGCGAGACACGAGAGCGUGAAAUUAGAAGAAAAAAAAUGGUUGGAUUUUGUUGGAGGGAUGAUCAUACGAGAGGAACGACAACAACGACGAGGCAAACAAAAACAGCGUAGCGCUCGAUAGAUUGCGAUCGUUCGAAGAAAAA
Molecule: long non-coding RNA, 488 nt
Filed under: Polistes fuscatus (common paper wasp)
Lineage: Eukaryota; Metazoa; Arthropoda; Insecta; Hymenoptera; Vespidae
Description: uncharacterized LOC122515737, transcript variant X3
Source: RNAcentral